GUUGAAUAUGUAAACACUCCGUAGAUAGUAGGUGCGUAUAGCGUAACGGGAAACCAACCUGCCGAGGAUUCCGAUAUAUGAUUAUAUAUGGUCUCUUCGCGCUGCGGAGAGGCUUUAGUUUUUAAUAU
Regulatory RNA element from Clostridium acidisoli DSM 12555, 128 nucleotides. It matches the Rfam family "Ribosomal protein L10 leader". From Rfam's summary of the family: This family is a putative r-protein leader autoregulatory structure found in B. subtilis and other low-GC Gram-positive bacteria. It is located in the 5' untranslated regions of mRNAs encoding ribosomal proteins L10 and L12 (rplJ-rplL). A Rho-independent transcription terminator structure that is probably involved in regulation is included at the 3' end. The record is from Rfam. Lineage: Bacteria; Bacillati; Bacillota; Clostridia; Eubacteriales; Clostridiaceae.